RNAcentral lists this ribosomal RNA (518 nucleotides) under uncultured bacterium. Its description in RNAcentral is "bacterial SSU rRNA". It matches the Rfam family "Bacterial small subunit ribosomal RNA", at positions 19 to 518 of the family's 1533-position model. The record is from RNAcentral.
CUGGCUCAGGACGAACGCUGGCGGCGUGCCUAAUACAUGCAAGUCGAGCGGACCGACGGGAGCUUGCUCCCUUAGGUCAGCGGCGGACGGGUGAGUAACACAUGGGUAACCUGCCUGUAAGACUGGGAUAACUCCGGGAAACCGGGGCUAAUACCGGAUGCUUGAUUGAACCGCAUGGUUCAAUCAUAAAAGGUGGCUUUUAGCUACCACUUGCAGAUGGACCCGCGGCGCAUUAGCUAGUUGGUGAGGUAACGGCUCACCAAGGCGACGAUGCAUAGCCGACCUGAGAGGGUGAUCGGCCACACUGGGACUGAGACACGGCCCAGACUCCUACGGGAGGCAGCAGUAGGGAAUCUUCCGCAAUGGACGAAAGUCUGACGGAGCAACGCCGCGUGAGUGAUGAAGGUUUUCGGAUCGUAAAACUCUGUUGUUAGGGAAGAACAAGUACCGUUCGAAUAGGGCGGCACCUUGACGGUACCUAACCAGAAAGCCACGGCUAACUACGUGCCAGCAGCCGC